Molecule: long non-coding RNA, 677 nt
Filed under: Prunus persica (peach)
Lineage: Eukaryota; Viridiplantae; Streptophyta; Magnoliopsida; Rosales; Rosaceae
Description: long non-coding RNA (PPER_LNC001231)
Source: RNAcentral
UCACCCAAAACAAAGGCAAACAACUCGUCUUUUAACAUCAAAGAGACUUGAAGGAGUUCCCAAGUGUGUCUCAUGUGACACAUAAAGAGAAAGAGAGAUGUAAUGCAACACCUUUUGGGGCUGUUUGGUAUAUAAGUUUGGCUUAGAUUGUUAAUAUCGGGCUCACCAAAAAUACCUUUUUAGAAGAAGAAAUUAUAAAAUAAUAUUGUACCAUGACGUCAGCUAGUAAUACUCUCAUUCAAAAUUUGCCACAUGUCCAUCUCUUUUACAGUCGAAUUGAAAUUAUAAUGUUACCCAUUUAAAGCAUAAAAAAAUUAUAAAAAAAAAGGUCAACCACCGCCCACCCGAAACCAGCAUUGCCUCCCCUCCCACCACCCAGUGGCAGACCUACAAAGAUGCAAGGAGGUGCAAUUGCACCUCCGGUCGCCGGAAAAAACCAUGGAGGUGCUGGAUUUGGCCCUUUGCUCUCUAGCGUUUUAAAAGGUGUAUCAAGGCGCACCUCAUGGAGUCCGUCGAUCUGAGGCCGCCUGAAAUCGCAUCAAGGCACCAUUCUUUUAGCAAGUUACAUGAUUGAGGCAUGGUCUGUGUUGUAGAAGGAGUUGCAGAGGCGUGUCGCUUCUGGAGGCUCUGGUUCACGAAUGAAGAAGACAACCCUUUUUUUAAUUUUCACAAACGAC